Non-coding RNA from Acanthosepion pharaonis, 113 nucleotides. The record is from the annotation of a GenBank genome assembly. Lineage: Eukaryota; Metazoa; Mollusca; Cephalopoda; Sepiida; Sepiidae.
UUACGGCCAUAUCAUAUUGAAACACCUGUUCCCGUACAAUCACCGAAGUUAAGCAACGUCGAGCCGGAUCAGUGCCUAGAUGGGUGGCCGCUUGGAAAUUCCAGAUGCUGGAA